UCCCAAAUUUGAUCAUCUGUGUACGCUUCAAGAGGGUCCAGGUUACUCCGUACAGUCCCUUCGAACAUGGUAGGAUCCUGAGGAAUAAUGCUUAGUCUUGAUCGCAAGUCAUGCAAACCAAUCAAUGAGAUAUGGAUGCCAUCUAUCCCAAUCUGACCAGCUGCAGGUUCAACAAUCCGGAAAAUUGUUUGGAUGAGAGUUGAUUUACCACUGCCUGUUCUCCCCACAAUACCAGUUUUCUUCCCUCCUGGGAAAGUACAUGUGAGACCUUGCAACACGAGUGGCAUAUGAGGGGCAUACCGAACCUACAUUAAAUCACUUCUUUUAAUACCAUAUGCCAAACAUGAAUCAGAAUCAUCAAUUGAAAAAAAUCCAGAUUACCUGCAAAUUAUCAAUAUCAACUUCUCCAUGUGAUGGCCAAGAAGGGUCUGGCCGGUUUUCAUCUACUACAAGAGGAGGCUCACUAGGAAUAGACAUGUAUUGGAGUAUUCUCUCUACUGAUAUCAUUUCGUUCUCUAGACUACAAAUAUUCCAUAUCACCAUAGCUUGCAGCAUGUUUAGAUUGAGUCCAUAUGUCACAGCCAAACCAGCAAUGGCUUUGAAAAUGGAAAAGUAUAAGGAAUAGGUGAAUCACAAGCUCAUAAAAUCAUCGUCAAAGAGAAGAAAGAUGAAUAGCUAUAUGAGACAGGAGCUACUAACCUGGAUCGAUUCCCUUCGGAAAUGAGAUUAAGAAAAACAAAGAGAAAGCAAAUGUAAGAGAAGAGAACAUAUCCAAGCGGAAGCAAAGCCAUUCUGUUGCCCCAGCACUAUGAAAAUCCGGCCGAAAAUAUGCAUCCGUCAAUGUCAUAUUCAUUUCUUGGAAUCUUGAUUGUUGACCAAAGCUUCUGAUAGUUGUCGAUCCAGAAAUUGUUUCAGCAAAAUGUUGGAUAACUGGAGCUUCGCAUACUCCAAUCAAUCGUGAAAGUUCUCUUGCAGAUGGGAGGUAGUAUUGCUGCAAAAAGAAAAAAAAAAUUGUGAGAACUCUGUCUCUAUUUGUUAACAAAAAUAGGCAAUAUUCAUAAAGAAUUGAAAGUUUUUGUUGUUUUAAUUUCUUUUAUGUUAAGCAUGUUAAAGGAAAAAAAUUUUAAAUGGGAAUGAGCAGGCAAUAAAAAAAAUAUUGGUAUAAGAAACACAAAAGGAGUUGCAUUAGCAGGCAUCACAUGCUGAGGGAUUAUUUGGCAUAUAAACAAGUGUUUUAAGAGAUAAUGACGAUUACCUGGUACCAGAUGCAGGCAGCGAUUGCAGGGAUAAAGAUAAUAAAAACUUGCCAAGCUACCUGAGACAUCACUGCAAUGGUUCCCAGAAGCCGGAUCAUUGAGAAUGCAACAGAUGCAACUUGAUUUGGAAUUUGCAUAUCCACUGCACUUUGGUCUGUAGAAGCCUAUUAGGGCAGACACAUAUUACUGUGAACCAGAUCUUUCUGAUUUUCAAUGGACUAAAGAGACAGAAAAAUACAGAAAAACACUUGAAUGAUUGAUGAAGCCUUCAAAAUUCACAUGCGGUGCAAAUGCAAAUAUUUAUGGAACUAAUUGAAGAAAAUACAAGACAAAAUUAACUUACUCUGUUGAGGAUUCGCCCACUUGGAGUUGCAUCAAAAAAGGACAUAGGUGCACGGAAAAUGCAAAAAUGCAUUUUAUUGAAUAGUAUAGUUGCUGUCUUGUACCCUGCUGUUACAAGAAGUGUGGCUCUGCCCAGGAUGCAAAAAGAACUUGCAAAAGCCAAAGCUACAUAGACAAUUAUUAAUGUGAACCCACUAACAACAGGUUUGACAUCUUUUGAUGCUGGAGUUGCCCAAGCCAUCCAAUAGUUGCUACCAAUUUGAAGGAGCUGAAAGAGAAUCUGCGCCAGCAAAAUAAGUGGCACCAGGGCUCCUCCAUAUGCAGUUGUUAUAUAUUUCCAGUAUACUGGGAAUCCAACUUUACCUUUUACUCUUUCUUCUUCUUGAACAAGUUGUCCUUUGGGUUCAGCAAUCUCAUCUUUAUUUUCUUCUUUUGAGAGAGCUCCAUUGCUAGUGCUCAUGCCACCAUUAUCCUUGCUGAUACUUUCAUUUCCAGAAGUUGACCCUCCCUGUUUGGAAUCAAGUACCGAUAAAGCUGUCUUAUGUGCACCAACAAGUUCUAUAAAAUCUGACCCUGAAUUGAGAAUGUCGUUGUACUUUCCAGCCUGGGUGAUCCUUCCAUCUUUCAUGACCUGAUCAGAAGGUACAAGUUGAAUCCAAUUAUUCCAUUAGUUGAGAUAUAAAUCCCAGAAGCAUUGAAGAAUAAAAAUGUAAUCACUCACCAAUAUUAGAUCUGCAGCUGGUAAGAACUCAACUUGAUGAGUAACAUAAAUAACAGUUUUCGAACUCAAUAGGCCAAGCAAAACCUCCUAUAAUGAAUGAUCAAAAAAAUAUACUUUAUGAAAAGUGCCUUUCUUUAGCCAUGCGUAAAAAGGAAUAGAAAAAUAGCACAAAGAACGUAACUAGAAACAAAUCAUCGCCUGCACCAUGUCCAAUGGAAUUGGUAAGGAGAAUCAUUCACCUUAAAUAGAUGAGAUCCUGUAUGUGCAUCAACAGCACUAAAUGGAUCGUCAAAUAGAUAGAUAUCAGCAUCUUGGUAGAGAGCUCUAGCAAUCUGUAUUCUCUGUUUUUGUCCACCACUAAGAUUGAUACCCCUUUCACCUAUAACCGUUUGAUCACCGAAUGAGAGGAUUUCCAGGUCCUUCUUCAGGGAACAUGCAUCCAAUAUCCUUUCGUACAUUUCUCGGUCCAUUGAUUUACCAAAUAAUAUAUUCUCCUCAAUCUUGCCACUAAGUAUCCAUGGUGACUGAGCAACAUAAGCCAUUUCCCCACAUAGCUUAAGUGUCCCCGAGAUCUUGGGUACCUCUCCCAAAAUGCAGGAGAGUAAGCUCGACUUGCCUGAACCAACGGUACCACAUACAGCAACCCUCAUACCAUGGAAAACUUUCAAAUUAAUGUCUUUUAGUGUUGGAUUUGGAGAAGACAAGUCCCAGGAGAAAUUCCCAUCAGCUAUUUCUACUGCUGUGUCACAACUACCCCUUGGAAGCCUCUCUACAACAUCAGACUGCAAGUCAUCAAGACGUAGAAAAGAUGCAAUUCUAUCAAGGGAAACCUUGGUCUCAACCAUCAUAGAAAUUGUGUCGGGAAGAUUAAAGAUUGGCUCUUGAAGAACCUGCAGAGUUGCAAGUGUGGAUAAGAUCUUUCCAGACUCAAGUGGGAUUCCCAUAAGCACACAAGUGCCAAAAGUGGCCACAGACACAAGAGUAGGAGCGCCCCAGGAGACAAAACUGACAAUUGCUGAAGUGUAAUCGAAUUUCUUCAACCAACCUGUCUCAGUGUUUCGGAGCUCAAUAAUCUUAGUCAAAAACUUCAUUUCCCAUGCCUGGAGCUUCAGGAUUUUCAUAUUCCUUAAAAUUUCAGAUGUCGUUUUCAUUCUUUCGUCUUUAGCUUCCAUCAAUUUGUCCUGAAAUUUCUCCUCUAAUCUCCCUAAUGGAUAAUUGAACAACAUGACAAUAAUAGUUGCAACAAGAGCAGCAACUGAUGCAAGCCCAAUAUUUUUAUACAAUAUGAACAAGGCCAAACUAACUUGGAUAAUGACCAGCCAAGAAUCAUGCAUGUACCAGCAAAACCUAGGAAUUCGUUCGGCGUCAACAGUCAUAAAAUUGAUCAUCUCCCCACUAGUGUGGCCCUGCUUUGACUGGCAUGAAAGGGUCAAGCCCUUGUUGAAGAUCAUAGCCAUAAGUGAUGAACGCAUCCUAAUUCCAAUUUGCUGCACCCUAAAGAACAAGUGCCUCUGUGAGAGGCACUCUACAACCAUUCCAACCAAAAAGGCAGAAGCUAAAAAAUAUCCCUGAUUUUUAAACCGUUCUUGCCCAUUAAGGCAUUGAACGAACUCAUCUAUGAGGUACGGACCAACAUAAGAAGCUAUUGUGUAUAACAGUGCAAGAAAAGCUGUAUACAGAAUUUCUUUCCAGGCUAAGAAAAACAAUGCCUUGACAAGCUUGAACAUAGAAACUCCACUAGUAGCACCACUAUAUGACUCAAGUUUAUUUUUGAAGAUUGGAAAUGACCCCAUUACACUAUCCUUACUAUGAAGUUGAGGAACAUCUUCAAGGUCUAUAGUUUUCUUAUUACCAAGAGCAAUUAAGGAACCCAUCCAAGAGAAGGUAAGAAAGCUUAAAAUACCAGCAUUUGAAUAAGGAGUUACAAAAUCACCUCCUCUAGAUUUAUUUAAUUCUAAAUUAUUACCAUUUAAAUUAUCAUUCAAUAGAGGUUCUUCAAGAGGGGUAUUUUGGCCCUUAAUUUUCAAGAAUCCCACAUAACAAAGAAACAAACCAGCAAACACAGAGACUGUAUCUGAUACUAAAUACUGGACUUGGGAGGACACAUGCUCAUGUUUUCUAGAAAGAACAAUGUCCACGACAAGAAAAUAACAAGAAAUUGAAAAAUAAAAGCCCCACCAAACUCUCAAUGGAAAUGGGAACUUAAUACCAGGUGAAUUAAAAAAUUGGGUAUGCAAAUAUACAGAAAGUGCACCCCAAGAGAGAGUUCUAACAGCUAAAUCCAAAAGAGUAACUACAUCAUCAUCAGACCAACCAUUUCUAUACCAAUAGAAAUAGCUCAACAAACACCAGACAAAAUCGAACGCAAAAACACCCAAACAACAGAAUAGAGCGAGUUUGUAACACAAUUCGCUCUUGUUAUUGUCAAACUUCUCUUUAAUAUCUUCACUAUCACCCAUCCUAAGCUUCUUAAAGAGAAAGGAGAGUAAAAACACAAAUAACAAAACUAGGUGUAAAGAACCAGAAAUUCCGCGAAGGAAAAUGGGCUUGAGUAGAAAAUCAGUGCCUGAAUACAUUAAUGAAGGUGAAUUAGAAAGAAAAGAUACCAUCGUACUCCUUAUUGAAUCAGCUAGUUCCAUUUUUCAGAGGCAGGAAAAGUCGCAGCAAACUUAACAGAGAGGUAAAAACCCAAGCGCGAGGUGUGAAAUCAGACAAAAACUAUACAGCAGUUGUGCAUCUUUUUACUGGAAAAUCACAAUGAAUUUUCCCGGCAAGUUGACUUUUUUUUUAGGACAAUAAGUCUCCCCAGAAUACAGAAAAUGACAAGAUGAUGAGGUCAUUGAUAUAUAAUAAUUGAUCUGAUCAACACUUUUUUAAUAAUCACACACCCAAAGUCUGCAACAACUUGUGUUUAGAUUCCUUAAAUCACGUUCCAAAAAUACUCGGUUUUACAAAAAAAAUUAAUUUUUAUAUUUAGAAAUGAGAUUAGUCAUGAAAAAAUAAUUUUAAAUAUUGAAAAUAACGUCAUUUUAAUCUUGAUGUCACAGGAAUUUUAAUUUUUUUUAAAAGGAAGAAUCCAAUUAAUUAUAAUGGAUUUGUUGUCAAAUUUUAUUAUUAAAUAUUUGUAUAAAAAAUAAAUUAAUUGAAUUUUUCUGAAUUUACAUGUUGUCUAGAUAAGAAAUUUAAUUUUUUUCAGUAAAUUUGAAUUUAGUUGAAAUUUUACAUAAUCCUUCACCUUCACCUUUUCCUUUUUUUUUUCUUUUUCAAAAACUAAAUAUAUUCAGAUUUCAAUAAUUAAAUUUAGAUCAAUAUAAAUAGUUUAAGAACAUAAUAAAGUUCAUUUAUCUUGUAAUAAAACUGGAUGAUGAAGUUAAAAACUCUACUGCUCUUAAUCACUGUGGAAACCAAUCAUGAACUGCAUCCACACUCUUCAGCCUCGUUGGAGUUUUGAUCUUGCUGUUAAUAUUCUGAUACAAGUUCUGCAAAUGACGAUGAAUUUGUUUUCUAAUAACCUAGUUGGAAAGUCGAAUUCCUCGAUGAGUCCUGCACAACGAUUGAUUAUAUGGAAACAUAAGAACAAUGUCCAAUGUAUAUAAUUUAAAUUACAGAAACGUACUUACCAUGACUUAGAAGCAGAACCGUGUCGCUAUCAAGAACAGAAGUUAUUCGAUGUGCAAUGGUUAUAACUGUACAGUCAGAGAAUAAAUCCCAGAAGCAUUGAAGAAUAAAAAUGUAAUCACUAAUCACUCAUCAAUAUUAAAUCUGCAGCUGGUAAGAACCCAACUUGAUGAGUAACAUAAAUAACAGUUUUUUAACUCAGUAGGCCAAGAAAAACCUCCUAUAAUGUAAUGAUCAAACAAAUAUUCUUUAUUAGAAGUGCCAUUCUUUUGCCAUGAAUAAAGAAGAACAGAAAAAUAGCACAAAGAACGUAACUAGAAACAAAUUGUGGCCUGCACCAUGUCCAGUGGAAUUGGUAAGGAGAAUCAUUCACCUUAAACAGAUGAGAUCCUGUAUGUGCAUCAACAGCACUAAAAGGAUCAUCGAAUAGAAAGAUAUCAGCAUCUCGGUAGAGAGCUCACGCAAUAUGUAUUCUCUGUUUUUGUCCACCACUCAGAUUGAUACCCCUUUCAUCUAUAAGUGUUUGGUCACCAAAUGACAGGAUUUCCAGGUCAUUCUUCAGGGAACAUGCCUCCAAAAUCCUUUCGUACCUUUCUCUGUCCAUUGAUUUCCAAAUAAUAUGUUCUCUUCAAUCUUGCCACUCUGUAUCCAUGUUGAUUGAGCAACAUAGGCCUUUUCCCCAAAUAGCUUAAAGUGUCCUAGAGAUCUUGGGUACCUCUCCCAAAAUGCAGGAGAGUAAGCUCGAUUUGGAGAAGAUAAGUCCCAAGAGAAAUUCCCAUCAUCUAGUUCUACUGCUGUGUCAUAACUAUCCCUUGGAAUCCUCUCUACAACAUCAGACUACAAGUCAUCAAGACAUAGGAAAGAUGCAAUUCUAUCAACGGAAACCCUGGUCUCAACCAUCGUAGAAAUUGUGUCAGGAAGAUUAAAGAUUAGCUACUGAAGAAUCCGGAAUGUUGCAAGUGCAGAUAAGAUCUUUCCAGACUCGAGUGGGAUUCCCAUAAGGACACAAGUGCCAAAAGUAGCCAUAGACACGAGAGUAGGAGCACCCUAGGAGACAAAACUGACAAUUGCUGUAGUGUAGUUAACUAUCUUCGACCAUCCUGUUUCAGUGUUUCGGAGCUCAAUAAUCUUAGACAAAAACUUCAUUUCCCAUGCCUGCAGCUUUAGGAUUCUCAUAUUCCUUAAAAUAUCAGACAUUGCUUUCAUUCUUUUGUCUUUAGAUUCCAUCAACUUGUCCUGAAAUUUCUCCUCUAAUCUUCUUAAUCGAUAGUUCAACAACAUGACAAUAACAGUUGCAACAAAAGCUGCAAUUGAUGCAAGCCCAAGAUUUUUGUACAAUAUGAAUAAGGCCAAACUAACUUGGAUGAUGACCAGCCAAAUCAUGCAUGAACCAGCAAAAUGUUGCAAUUCGCUUGGUAUCAACAGUCAUCAGAUUGAUGCUAUCCCCACUAGUGCGGCCCUGCUUUGACUGGCAUGAAAGGGUCAAACCCCUGUUGUAGAUCAUAGCCAUAAUUGAUGAACGCAUCCUAAUUACAAUUUGUCGCAACCUAAAGUUCAAGUGCCUCUCUGAGAGGCACUGUACAACCAUUCCAAUUAAAAAGGCAGAAGCCAAAACAUAUCCCUGAUUUUUUAACUGCCCUCGCCCAUUAAGGCAUUGAACAAAUUCAUCAAUGAGGUAUGGACCGGCAUAAGAAGCCAUUGUGUUUAACAGUGAAAGAAAAGCUGUAUACAGAAUCUCUUUCCAAGCUAAGAAGAAAAAUGCCUUGACAAUCUUAAAUGGAGUAACUCCACUAGUAGUACCACUAUAUGACUCGAGUUUAUUUUGGAAAACUGAAAAUGACCCAGUUACACUAUCCACACUAUGAAGUUGAGGAACAUCUUCAAGGUCUAUAGUUUUCUUAUUACCAACAGCAAUUAGGGAACCCAUCCAAGAGAAGGUAAGAAAGCUGAAAAUGCAUUUAAUAAGGAGUAACAAAAUCACCUUCCCUCGAUUUAUUUAAUUCUAAAUCAUUACCACUUAAUUUAUCAUUCAAUAGAGGUUCUUCAAAAUGGGUAAAUUCACCCUUAAUUUCCAAGAACCCCACGUAACAACGAAACAAACCGGCGGACACAGAGACUGCAUCUGAUACUAAAUACCGAACUUGGAAGGACACAUGUUCAUGUUUCUAGAAAGAACAAUGUCCACAGAAAGACAACAAGAAGAAAUUAAAAAAUAAGAGGCCCACCAAACUCUCAGUGGAAAUGGGUACUUAAUAUCAGGUGAAUUAAAAAAUUGGAUAUGCAAAUAGACAGAAAGUGCACCCCAAGAAAGUGUUCUAACCGCUAAAUCCAAAAGCAUAACUACAUCAUAAUCAGACCAACCACUUCUAUGACAAUAGAAGUAGCUCAACAAACACCAGACUAAAUCGAACACAGAAACACUCAAACAACAGGUUAGAGUGAGUUUGUAACACAAUUCCCUCUUGUUAUUAUCAAGCUUCUUUUUCGUAUCUUCACUAUCACCAAUCCUAAGUUUCUUAAAGACAAAAGGGACUAAUAACGCAAAACCAGAAAACCCGUGAAGGAAAAUGGGCAUGAGGAGAAAAUCACUACCUGAAUAUAAUACUGAAGGUGAGUUAGAAAGAAAAGAUACCAUCUACUCCUUAUUGAAUCAGCAAGUUCUAAUUUCUGAGAGGUUUUUUCGAGGUUUUAGCUAAAUAGGUGUUUGCUGGAAAGACUUUAAGAAACAAAAACAAUUAAAAAAAAAAAACUGUGCGUCUUUUUACUGGAAAAAUGCACAGAAUUUUCCCACAAAAUUUGUUCUUUUCUUUCUUCCAGUUCUGCUGUUAUGAACACUUCUCUAAUCUAUUACUUUCCUGCCUUUUUUUUUUUUUCUUUUGCAGUCUCUGGGAAAUGAAGAAGGCGCAAGGCGCUGGUGGACGACUGCUCUCUGUAUUAUAUGGAAACUGUUAAAGGAGCAGAAAUUACAAAUCGCUCUCUCUGUAUUUUCCUUUUAUAGGAUUCUCUCUAAUCUGUCGACGUAUAAGAAUUAUAACCAUUAUAACCGGAAUGUCAGCACUUUUUUCAGGGUUAGGAGUAACAAAGUUGAGAAUUGAUGAUGCUCAACAAUGGUUUAUGAAGAAUUGCUAUUUAUUCGGUUAGCUUCUCAAAACUGGAGUUUGAUCUUGCUGAAUAUUCUGCUACAAGUUGUGCAAACGACGAUGCCUUGUUUUCUAAUAACCGAGUCGGAGAGUCAUAUUCCUCGAUGAGCCCUGCACAAUUAUUACCAAAUAUGAAACUAUAAGAACAUUGCGCAACAUUCAUAAUUUAAAUUACAGCAUUAAAUUUAAUAAUUACUUACCAUUACUUAGAAGCAGAACCAUGUCACUAUCAAGAACAGAAGUUAUUCGAUGUGCAAUGGUUAUAACUGUACAGUCAGAGAAGUGUUGCCUAAUAGUUUGCUGAAUUAAAUUAUCAGUAGCUGUAUCAACCGAGGCAGUAGCUUCAUCAAGAACCAAGACCUUACUCCUCUUGAGUAGCACUCGCCCGAGGCAGACUAGCUGCCUUUGACCCAUACUCCAGUUCUCUCCAUUCUCAGUGACUGCAGCACCAGUAUGAUUAUUCACAAUGUAAAUCUAUGCCAGAAAGUUAAAAAGAUUCGCAUUCAACUAACAUGGUAUAAUAAGAAUAACAUACCUGUUGAAUCUAGCUUUUCCUCCUUCUUCCUAACCUCAUCUCCAAGUUGGCACUUAUCAAGAGCCUGGAACAAUUCAAUAUAUUUUAGCAUGCAUGUCCUUAGAAAUUAUUUGAUUUAGAAACAAAAUAUCAAUAAAGAAUCUUUUUAUUAAUAUUUAGAAUUGAAACAACCUACCUCCCAAAUUUGAUCAUCUGUGUACUCUUCAAGAGGGUCCAGGUUACUCCGUACAGUCCCUUCGAACAUGGUAGGAUCCUGAGGAAUAAUGCUUAUUCUUGAUCGCAAGUUAUGCAAACCAAUCAAUGAGAUAUUGAUGCCAUCUAUCACAAUCUGACCAGCUGCAGGUUCAACAAUCCGGAAAAUUGUUUGGAUGAGAGUUGAUUUACCACUGCCUGUUCUCCCCACAAUACCAGUUUUUUUCCCUCCUGGGAAAGUACAUGUGAGACCUCGCAACACGAGUGGCAUAUGAGGGGUAUACCGAACCUAUAUU
Molecule: long non-coding RNA, 10100 nt
Filed under: Jatropha curcas
Lineage: Eukaryota; Viridiplantae; Streptophyta; Magnoliopsida; Malpighiales; Euphorbiaceae
Description: long non-coding RNA (JCUR_LNC001129)
Source: RNAcentral